ACUAUCUGACUGGCUCCCCCCCAUCAGUGCUUCCAAUCAUCUUUUAUCAUUUGGACUUCAUUUCUUUUGAAAGACCAACUAAUUAUGACCCGGUAACCACAUCUCCAGUCUAUCAGAAGGUAUUGCAUGUUGAAUAUAUAUUUGAAGUAACAUAAAGACAGCUGGGGACUGUCAUCAAUCCAUUAGGUAGGCAUGGAUCAUUAAACUGGCUUUUUCUCACUUUUACUGCACCAAUCAGAGGUUUGAAAAUGUGAUGAUGCACAUAGAGAAGCUUCAACCUGCAUUGCACUAUUUGAAGGAGAAACUGAACUAUCAGCUCCCAAAUGAAAAUUUCUGGACCACCUCUGCUCUAGAUUCUCACGGUACGAUAUAAAGCUUUGAAAAUUGUGAUUAAAAAAAAAAGAAAAAGUGUAAUUCAAAGGUCUGGAUUCAUGUUGAUCUCACUGGGGGGGGGGGGUGUUUUGGUGUAUUUUUGUUUUGAUGUGCAGGAGCCAAAGUGUACAAAAAAUGAUCCUCCAGCACCUGUGAGAGGAUCGCGGGAGGAAAGAUUUUGGGGAUUCAACUUUUUUCAAAAGUGGUUUCAGCGACUGUCAUUCAGGGACAACAUCCUCCAAUCCCAUGGAACUGUUGGUCAUUUCCGGGUAGCCAUGGCCACCUGUUUAUUGAACUCUUUACUGGGUUUACUGGGGUCUGACUUGUCUCUGACAGGGACUACAAUCUUUGGAUGAAAAAGCGGUGCAUCUUGGGAAAUUUAUAUACGAUCUUGAGGGUAACCCAACCCAGACGUUUGCAAUGAAGGUAAGGAGGACAUUGCAGAGAAGUUUUUUUAUUUAUGGUGCAUAUUUUUCAGAACUAAAGUGUCUCUUUUGUCUUUUGUCUAUGCAGGAUCAUGACAGUAUUCCUUUCAAUUACAUAGACUUGCGAAUUGAAUCCAACUAUGGCCAUGCUGACUACACGUGCUUGUAUGGCUUCAGGGUCCAUGGACAGAUAUAAGAUAUAAUAGUGAGUAAUUAAUAAAACUAAUUAGACUUGAUAAAGUUUUUGUUCCAAGUCAAAUUUCUCUGAAAUUGAUCAAAAAACAUUCUUUUACCAGCAGAAAUGAUUGACGACUCAUGCUACUGAAAUCCGUCUCCGAAUUACACACUAAAACUUGCCCAUCCUGCAGAGAGAGUGCUGAUGAUGUUUGAUGAAUGAAUCCAGGCCAUGAGAAACUGAGCCUGAGCCCACCACAGAUGAUGAUCACGCUGCUGAACUAUUCUGGAACAACUACGUCUGAAAAUGACUGCACGGCUCAGUGGACAUAUUGAAGUGCUCUGAAAGACUAACACCUGCUCAUGUGGACUUCCCCCUCCCCAGCAGCAACAUCAGCCGUCUGAAGGAUCAUGAAUAAUGCAAAGAAACUCAUCAAAUCCAAAGAAAUCAGACGCUACACAGCCCAUAUGCAUUCUGGGCUGGAAAUCAACAAUUGCUGACCGCAGACAUUUCUCCAGCUCGUAAACACUAUCAGACUGCCCCCCCUCCCCCAUCAGUGCUUCC
RNAcentral lists this long non-coding RNA (1536 nucleotides) under Takifugu rubripes (torafugu). RNAcentral describes it as "lncRNA (ENSTRUG00000026956.1)". The record is from RNAcentral. Lineage: Eukaryota; Metazoa; Chordata; Actinopteri; Tetraodontiformes; Tetraodontidae.